CUUGCCUCUGUCCUGGGAGAUAAUUUGAUUACUUCCCAAUUAUCUCCAGGAUGGAGAGAAGGGAUUGUGAUGUCACUGUGGGAGUGUUUUGUUUGUAUUGUCUGUGAUUGGUUAUACUGGGUCCCACCCUAUGGGAUGUCCCCUUGCAUGGGGACUUGCAUAAAAGCCAGUGUGUGGUCAUUAAAACCAGAUCAUCUUGUACCUUUCUUGAAGCCUUGACUCAUGUUUGGGGGAAGGGAUACCUACACUCUGGGGAUUGCUAUAAUCACUUACUCCCCAGAGUAAGCUCUUGCAAUAG
Non-coding RNA from Pelobates cultripes (western spadefoot toad), 298 nucleotides. The record is from the annotation of a GenBank genome assembly. NCBI's taxonomy places the organism in Eukaryota, Metazoa, Chordata, Amphibia, Anura, Pelobatidae.